CAGCCGCCGCGGUAAUACGAGGGGGGCAAGCGUUGUUCGGAAUUAUUGGGCGUAAAGGGUGCGUAGGCGGUUUGGCAAGUCUUGUGUGAAAUCUUCGGGCUCAACCCGAAGCCUGCACGAGAAACUGCCGGGCUUGAGUAUUGGAGAGGUGAGUGGAAUUUCCGGUGUAGCGGUGAAAUGCGUAGAUAUCGGAAGGAACACCUGUGGCGAAAGCGGCUCACUGGACAAUAACUGACGCUGAUGCACGAAAGCUAGGGGAGCAAACAGGAUUAGAUACCCGGGUAGUCCCUGUCUCUUAUAC
RNAcentral lists this ribosomal RNA (301 nucleotides) under uncultured bacterium. RNAcentral describes it as "partial 16S ribosomal RNA". It matches the Rfam family "Bacterial small subunit ribosomal RNA", at positions 509 to 807 of the family's 1533-position model. The record is from RNAcentral.